RNAcentral lists this ribosomal RNA (497 nucleotides) under uncultured bacterium. RNAcentral describes it as "partial 16S ribosomal RNA". It matches the Rfam family "Bacterial small subunit ribosomal RNA", at positions 28 to 507 of the family's 1533-position model. The record is from RNAcentral.
GACGAACGCUGGCGGCGUGCCUAAUACAUGCAAGUCGAGCGGACGAAUCGAAAGCUUGCUUUUGUUUCGUUAGCGGCGGACGGGUGAGUAACACGUGGGCAACCUGCCCUUUAGACGGGGAUAACACCGAGAAAUCGGUGCUAAUACCGGAUAACACGAAAUGUCGCAUGACGUUUCGUUGAAAGACGGCUCUAGCUGCCGCUACAGGAUGGGCCCGCGGCGCUUUAGCUAGUUGGUGAGGUAACGGCUCACCAAGGCGACGAUACGUAGCCGACCUGAGGGGUGAUCGGCCACACUGGGACUGAGACACGGCCCAGACUCCUACGGGAGGCAGCAGUAGGGAAUCUUCCGCAAUGGACGAAAGUCUGACGGAGCAACGCCGCGUGAGCGAAGAAGGCCUUCGGGUCGUAAAGCUCUGUUGUUAGGGAAGAACAAGUAACGAAGUAACUGGCGUUACCGUGACGGUACCUAACGAGAAAGCCACGGCUAACUACGUG